AAUCGAACUCGGAGAUAGCUGGUUCUCCUCGAAAUAGCUUUAGGGCUAGCCUUGAGGUAAAAGAAUUAUGGGGGUAGAGCACUGAAUGAGGUAGGGGCCAAACCAGGUUACUGAACUCUAUCAAACUGCGAAUACCAUAAUUAGAAUACUCAGGAGUCAGACUGCGGGAGCUAAGUUCCGUGGUCAAAAGGGAAAGAGCCCAGACCGACAAUUAAGGUCCCAAAGAUAUAGUUAAGUGGAAAACGAUGUGAAUUUGCAUAAACAACCAGGAUGUUGGCUCAGAAGCAGCCACUCAUUCAAAGAGUGCGUAACAGCUCACUGGUCGAGUGAAUUUGCGCGGAAAAUUACCGGGGCUAAACUAUACACCGAAAUUUCGGAUUUACGUAUGAAAAUAUGUAAGUGGUAGAGGAGCAUUCUGUAGUAGGACGAAGUCAAAGCGAAAGCAUUGGUGGACGAGGCAGAAGAGAGAAUGCUGGAAUAAGUAGCGAGAGCAAGGUGAGAAUCCUUGCCGUCGAAAGUCUAAGGUUUCCUGGGGAAGGUUCGUCCGCCCAGGGUAAGUCGGGGCCUAAGGAGAGGCCGAAAGGCGUAUCUGAUGGAUAGCAGGUGGAGAUUCCUGCACUAUAGCUAGUUUUAAAAGAUGCAAGGGACGCAGUAGAGGAAGAUAACCAAGGAAGAGGAAAGACUUGGUCCGCAAGGGAUAGUGAAAAUUAAUAGUAACGAAAUAUCAAGAAUCACACUGACGAGAAAAGCUUGUAGAUAUUAACUAGAAAUACCCGUACCGCAAACCGACACAGGUAGAUGAGGAGAGGAUCCUAAGACGAGCGGGAGAAGCAUUGUUAAGGAACUCGGCAAAAUAACCCCGUAACUUCGGGAGAAGGGGAACCUAAGUAAAAUUAGGUCGCAGAGAAAAGGCCCAAGCAACUGUUUAACAAAAACACAGGUUUCUGCAAAAUCGAAAGAUGAAGUAUAGGAGCUGACGCCUGCCCAGUGCUGGAAGGUUAAGGGAAAGAGUUAGAUGUAAGUCGAAGCUUAGAACUAAAGCCCCAGUGAACGGCGGCCGUAACUAUAACGGUCCUAAGGUAGCGAAAUUCCUUGUCAGGUAAGUUCUGACCCGCACGAAAGGCGUAAUGAUUUGGGCACUGUCUCGACAAUGUACCCGGCGAAAUUGUAGUACUAGUGAAGAUGCUAGUUACCUGCGACAAGACAGAAAGACCCCAUGGAGCUUUACUGCAGUUUGAUACUGGGUUUCGAUAAGUUAUGUACAGGAUAGGUGGGAGACAAAGAAAGAAAGGCGUCAGCUUUUCCGGAGUCACCGUUGGGAUACCACCCUUAAUUUGUUGGAAUUCUAACUAGUGGUCAUGAUCUGGCCAGAGGACAAUGUCAGACGGGCAGUUUGACUGGGGCGGUCGCCUCCAAAAGAGUAACGGAGGCGCCCAAAGGUUCCCUCAGUGCGGACAGAAAUCGCACGAAAGAGUGUAAAGGCAGAAGGGAGCUUAACUGGAAGAUAGACAUAUCGAGCAGAUACGAAAGUAGGGCUUAGUGAUCCGGUGGAUAUUGAAUGGAAAAGCCAUCGCUCAACGGACAAAAGUUACCCUGGGGAUAACAGGCUUAUCUCCCCCAAGAGUUCACAUCGACGGGGAGGUUUGGCACCUCGAUGUCGGCUCAUCGCAUCCUGGAGCGGAAGUACGUUCCAAGGGUUGGGCUGUUCGCCCAUUAAAGCGGUACGCGAGCUGGGUUCAGAACGUCGUGAGACAGUUCGGUCCUUAUCUGUCGCAGGCGGAAGAUAUUUGAGAGGAGCUGUCCUUAGUACGAGAGGACCAGGAUGGACAUACCGAUGGUGUAUCAGUUGUCACACCAGUGGCACGGCUGAGUAGCCAAGUAUGGACGGGAUAAACGCUGAAAGCAUCUAAGUGUGAAGCCCACCUCAAGAUAAGAUAUCUCAUAUCGU
This 1948-nucleotide ribosomal RNA is filed under the name human gut metagenome. Its description in RNAcentral is "bacterial LSU rRNA". It matches the Rfam family "Bacterial large subunit ribosomal RNA", at positions 831 to 2822 of the family's 2925-position model. The record is from RNAcentral.